UACGGAGGAUUCAAGCGUUAUCCGGAUUUAUUGGGUUUAAAGGGUGCGUAGGCGGUCGGAUAAGUUAGAGGUGAAAUCCCGAGGCUCAACUUCGGAAUUGCCUCUGAUACUGUUCGGCUAGAGAGUAGUUGCGGUAGGCGGAAUGUAUGGUGUAGCGGUGAAAUGCUUAGAGAUCAUACAGAACACCGAUUGCGAAGGCAGCUUACCAGGCUACUUCUGACGUUGAGGCACGAAAGCGUGGGGAGCAAACAGG
This 253-nucleotide ribosomal RNA is filed under the name uncultured bacterium. Its description in RNAcentral is "partial 16S ribosomal RNA". It matches the Rfam family "Bacterial small subunit ribosomal RNA", at positions 524 to 776 of the family's 1533-position model. The record is from RNAcentral.